This 299-nucleotide ribosomal RNA is filed under the name uncultured bacterium. RNAcentral's name for it is "partial 16S ribosomal RNA". It matches the Rfam family "Bacterial small subunit ribosomal RNA", at positions 505 to 793 of the family's 1533-position model. The record is from RNAcentral.
GUGCCAGCAGCCGCGGUAAUACGGAGGGUGCGAGCGUUAAUCGGAAUUACUGGGCGUAAAGACGCAUGCAGGCGGCCUGUUAAGUCAGAUGUGAAAGACCCGGGGCGUUAACCUCGGAAAUUGCAUUUGUAAACUAGGCAGGCUAGAGUCUUGUAGAGGGGGGUAGGAAUUUCAGGUGUAGCGGUGAAAUGCGUAGAGAUCUGAAGGAAUACCAGUGGCGAAGGCGGCCCCCUCGGACAAAGACUGACGCUCAGAUGCGAAAGCGUGGGGAGCAAACAGGAUUAGAUACCCCUCGGUAG